GAUUAGAAGUGCUUGAGAUACAUCAUAACAGUGUCAGUGCAGUGUUUAUGGGGGAAAUUGUCGCUGUCUCUCGCUUGUGGAAGGUGACAUAAUGGGAUUUCUUCCCUUUGUCCUGGUGACAGGAUGAUGAGCACUGUCUGGGCUCCAGUUCGGCGGGCUUUGCCAUUCAGGCAUCCGGCGCAGCUGACAAGCCCGAGGAUCGAUGGAGAAGAGUUUGAUUACUCAGUCAAAACCUAAGUAUCCUGUUGGGAGAAGAACACUCAUUUUAGUGGCACUGUUCUAUUCUUUGGAUGAAUUGAAUAGUUACUAAUCCAGCCACAGAAGAAAGACACAGGAGAGGCUGAAACAUCACCUCUUGAGGGUCUCCUUUCUGGUGAUUUAUUCAGAUAUUGGCACAUGUGACUCAAUAAUGGCCAAUACUAUGUGAAGGGACAUCUUCUGGGGAGUCUUCCUCCUUUUCUUCCGGAUUCUUUGUGUCUGAAUGUGAUGCCUGGAGAUGCAACAGCAGUCUCACUACCAGCACGAGGAUGAAGCUGAUACCCAGGUAUGGCGAGAGAGAGAGAAAGAUAGAAAGAACCCAGGUUCUUGAUGACGUUGUUGAGCCACCCAAUCAGUCAACCCCUAAGCUUCCCUGCUGCUCUACUUUCUGUUAUACAGGAUAGGACGUUUCCUUAAAUGUUUAAACCACUUUGAAUCAGGGUUUCUGUUGCCUCAUGGCCCAAAGCAUCUGAAGCGAUGGAGAGAAUUUUAAGUCCAAUUUCUCAUUUCACAGAAGAUGUAACAGAGUGUGCUCAAUGUUAUGUUGCAGGUGACAGCAGAACACAGGAAUAGAGAGGCUGAAUCUUCUGCUUUAGAGCCAUUUUUAGUCAGAUGCUGCCCCUCUUACAAUUUACUUAAUUAUAAAUUAAAGAUGGUUUAAGAGUGUAUCUCUCAAGUCACUGUCCUUGUAUUUGACAAAAUUUCCUGGCCAGGGUUAAAGUCUGGAAUUCUAAUCCAAAUUUUCCUCAUUUGGACAUGCUGAAUCAAACUGGCCACUACAGAGACAAAGAGUAUGCUUGUUGACUUUGAAAAACUAAAAACGCUUUGUUCCUAAUGACUAGGGAGCAGUGACCUGGGAGACUUGAUCUGUUUGGUAACUGUGGGCGAGAAAGACGAAAUAUAUCUCUUUGGGUCAAGACUUAGCAUUUGUAAAGUAAGGAAGACCACAGGAUGUUAUUCAAAGCCUUUGCCAAGGCUUUGGUUGGAAGAUUUAAUGGAAUCCACAGGCAGAGAAUAGGGUGAGGGUAGGAGGUGGGGAUACAGGUUAGGAAGGUUGGUUUAUCCUUUCUGUUCCCAGGGGCAUUUCUUCUAUCAGGUCAUUCCCUCAGCUGCAAGGCCUCCUGUUUGCCUCUAAUGCUACUUCCAAUCUGUCCAUGCUGCAGGGCCCAGGUUAUACUAUAUUGCCUCUAUCAAGUCUUCCCGGAUCACUUUAGCAUGCACCAGUAACUCAUUUUCAGAACUCACUCAUUUCCUGAACUCUUUACUCAUUCAUUAAACAUGUCAUGUUACAGAAUAUUUCUCUUCUGGUAUUUCACUCAUUUUGCUCCUAAAUUUUAUCUUGAGGAAGCAGAUCAGAAAAAAAGAAACGACAUAGACUUUAAGGGCACAUUGACUUCACUUGAAUCCUGCUCUAGGGCCCCUGCCUUGCAGAACUCCAGGGGCCAGUUAGAUAGCAUGCAGUCCUGACUGGUUCUACCACUCUGGAGCAACUGUCUAUGACCACCUCAAAUCCAUUGUGGAAUGCAAAUGGGGCAUACUGUAUUAGUUUCUAUUGCUGUUCCAACAAAUGACUACAAACUCAGUGGCUUAAAAUAACACAAAUGUAUAACUGCUAUAGUUUAAUAUCCCCUCCAAAACUUAGGUUGAAAUUUAGUUGCCAUUGUAACAAUGUUGAAACAUGGUCUUACAGGAGGUGAUUAGGUCAUGAGGGCUCUGCCCUCAUGAAUGGAUCAAGGCUGUUAAUCACAGGAGUGUGUUAGUUAUCAAAGGAGUGGGCUCCACAUAGAAGAAUGAAGUUCUGGUUCCCUUCCUCUCUCUCUCUCGCAUGCUCUCUUGUCAGGUAAUGCCUUCUGCAUGUUAUGACACAGCAAGAAGGCCCUCACCAGAUGCAGCCCCUU
Molecule: long non-coding RNA, 2156 nt
Organism: Homo sapiens (human)
Lineage: Eukaryota; Metazoa; Chordata; Mammalia; Primates; Hominidae
Gene: C5orf64
Product: chromosome 5 putative open reading frame 64
Source: Ensembl